UCCCAUGUGUCUCAGUUGGUAGAGCAUGGUGUUUGCAACGCCAGGGUUGUGGGUUCGAUUCCCACGGGGGAC
Molecule: non-coding RNA, 72 nt
Organism: Salmo salar (Atlantic salmon)
Lineage: Eukaryota; Metazoa; Chordata; Actinopteri; Salmoniformes; Salmonidae
Source: Rfam